AUUGAACGCUGGCGGCAGGCCUAACACAUGCAAGUCGAACGAGUGGCGGACGGGUGAGUAAUGUCUGGGAAACUGCCCGAUGGAGGGGGAUAACUACUGGAAACGGUAGCUAAUACCGCAUACAAUCGGAUGUGCCCAGAUGGGAUUAGAUAGUAGGUGGGGUAACGGCUCACCUAGGCGACGAUCCCUAGCUGGUCUGAGAGGAUGACCAUCCACACUGGAACGGUGACCCGGUCCAGACUCCUACGGGAGUCAGCAUUGGGGAAUAUUGCACAGUGGGCUCAAUCCUGAUGCAGCCAUGCCGCGUGUAUGAAGAAGGCCUUCGGGUUGUAAAGUACUUUCAGCGAGGAGGCGUUACUCGCAGAAGAAGCACCGGCUAACUCCGUGCCAGCAGCCGCGGUAAUAC
RNAcentral lists this ribosomal RNA (406 nucleotides) under uncultured bacterium. Its description in RNAcentral is "partial 16S ribosomal RNA". It matches the Rfam family "Bacterial small subunit ribosomal RNA", at positions 30 to 526 of the family's 1533-position model. The record is from RNAcentral.